GGACGGCAUGGAAGAACACCAGUAAGCCAGUGACUCAGCCCCCAUAAUAGGGUUAGAGGCAGAGAAUCCCAGUGGAGAGAGGGGAACCGGCCAGGCAGAGACAGCAAGGGCGGUUCGUUGCUCCAGUGCCUUUCUGUUCACCUUCACACUCCUGGGCCAGACUACACUUAAUCAUAGGACCUACUGAAGAGAUGAGUUUUCAAUAAAGACUUAAAGGUUGAGACCGAGUCUGCGUCUCUCACAUGGAAUGUGGUGAUCGAUGGUAUCAAAAGCAGCACUAAGGUCUAGGAGCACGAGGACAGAUGCAGAGCCUCGGUCUGAUGCCAUUAAAAGGUAAUUUACCACCUUCACAAGUGCCGUCUCAGUGCUACGAUGGGGUUUAAAACCAGACUGAAGCGUUUCGUAUACAUUGUUUUUUUUCAGGAAGGCAGUGAGUUGCUGAGCAACAGCUUUUUCAAAAAUUUUUGAGAGGAAUGGGAGAUUCAAUAUAGGCAGAUAGUUUUUAUAUUUUCUGGGUCAAAGUUUGGCUUUUUCAAUAGAGGCUUUAUUACUGCCACUUUUAGUGAGUUUGGUACACAUCCGGUGGAUAGAGAGCCGUUUAUUAUGUUCAACAUUGGAGGGCCAAGCACAGGAAGCAGUUCUUUCAGUAGUUUAGUUGGAAUAGGGUCCAGUAUGCAGCUUGAAGGUUUAGAGGCCAUGAUUAUUUUCAUCAUUGUGUCAAGAGAUAUAGUACUAAAACACUUGAGUGUCUCCCUUGAUCCUAGGUCCUGGCAGAGUUGUGCAGACUCAGGACAACUGAGCUUUGGAGGAAUAUGCAGAUUUAAAGAGGAGUCUGUAAUUUGCUUUCUAAUGAUCAUGAUCUUUUCCUCAAAGAAGUCCACUGCUGAAGUGAAAGCCAUCCUCUCUUGGGGAAUGCUGCUUUUUAGUUAGCUUUGCGACAGUAUCAAAAAUACAUUUUGGAUUGUUCUUAUUUUCCUCAAUUAAGUUGGAAAAUAGCAUGAUCGAGCAGCAGUGAGGGCUCUUCGAUACUGCACGGU
RNAcentral lists this long non-coding RNA (1037 nucleotides) under Salmo salar (Atlantic salmon). RNAcentral describes it as "lncRNA (ENSSSAG00000101318.1)". Lineage: Eukaryota; Metazoa; Chordata; Actinopteri; Salmoniformes; Salmonidae. The record is from RNAcentral.